AUUGAACGCUGGCGGCAUGCCUUACACAUGCAAGUCGAACGGCAGCGCGGGGCAACCUGGCGGCGAGUGGCGAACGGGUGAGUAAUAUAUCGGAACGUACCCUGGAGUGGGGGAUAACGUAGCGAAAGUUACGCUAAUACCGCAUACGAUCUAAGGAUGAAAGUGGGGGAUUCGCAAGAACCUCAUGCUCCUGGAGCGGCCGAUAUCUGAUUAGCUAGUUGGUAGGGUAAAAGCCUACCAAGGCAUCGAUCAGUAGCUGGUCUGAGAGGACGACCAGCCACACUGGAACUGAGACACGGUCCAGACUCCUACGGGAGGCAGCAGUGGGGAAUUUUGGACAAUGGGCGCAAGCCUGAUCCAGCAAUGCCGCGUGAGUGAAGAAGGCCUUCGGGUUGUAAAGCUCUUUUGUCAGGGAAGAAACGGGCCUUUCUAAUACAGAGGCCUAAUGACGGUACCUGAAGAAUAAGCACCGGCUAACUACGUGCCAGCAGCCGCGGUAAUACGUAGGGUGCAAGCGUUAAUCGGAAUUACUGGGCGUAAAGCGUGCGCAGGCGGUUUUGUAAGACUGUCGUGAAAUCCCCGGGCUCAACCUGGGAAUGGCGAUGGUGACUGCAAGGCUAGAGUUUGGCAGAGGGGGGUAGAAUUCCACGUGUAGCAGUGAAAUGCGUAGAUAUGUGGAGGAACACCGAUGGCGAAGGCAGCCCCCUGGGUCAAAACUGACGCUCAUGCACGAAAGCGUGGGGAGCAAACAGGAUUAGAUACCCUGGUAGUCCACGCCCUAAACGAUGUCUACUAGUUGUCGGGUUUUAAUUAACUUGGUAACGCAGCUAACGCGUGAAGUAGACCGCCUGGGGAGUACGGUCGCAAGAUUAAAACUCAAAGGAAUUGACGGGGACCCGCACAAGCGGUGGAUGAUGUGGAUUAAUUCGAUGCAACGCGAAAAACCUUACCUACCCUUGACAUGGCAGAGAUCCCGGAGAGAUUCGGGAGUGCUCGAAAGAGAAUCUGCACACAGGUGCUGCAUGGCUGUCGUCAGCUCGUGUCGUGAGAUGUUGGGUUAAGUCCCGCAACGAGCGCAACCCUUGUCAUUAGUUGCUACGAAAGAGCACUCUAAUGAGACUGCCGGUGACAAACCGGAGGAAGGUGGGGAUGACGUCAAGUCCUCAUGGCCCUUAUGGGUAGGGCUUCACACGUCAUACAAUGGUACAUACAGAGGGCCGCCAACCCGCGAGGGGGAGCUAAUCCCAGAAAGUGUAUCGUAGUCCGGAUUGUAGUCUGCAACUCGACUGCAUGAAGUUGGAAUCGCUAGUAAUCGCGGAUCAGCAUGUCGCGGUGAAUACGUUCCCGGGUCUUGUACACACCGCCCGUCACACCAUGGGAGCGGGUUUUACCAGAAGUAGGUAGCUUAACCGUAAGGAGGGCGCUUACCACGGUAGGAUUCGUGACUGGGAUG
Molecule: ribosomal RNA, 1453 nt
Filed under: Duganella sp. PH3
Lineage: Bacteria; Pseudomonadati; Pseudomonadota; Betaproteobacteria; Burkholderiales; Oxalobacteraceae
Description: bacterial SSU rRNA
Rfam family: Bacterial small subunit ribosomal RNA
Source: RNAcentral